RNAcentral lists this ribosomal RNA (145 nucleotides) under uncultured bacterium. RNAcentral describes it as "partial 16S ribosomal RNA". The record is from RNAcentral.
CCGAGCCCGUCCCUCCUCCAUGACCGGAUACUGAUCGUAGCCUUGGUGACCCAUUACCUCACCAACUAGGUAAUCAGUGUUUGGCUCCUCCCAUGGUGUGUUGGGGGUGGGUGCAAAACCCCGACACCAUUUCCGCGACGAUGCU